AUCCACCAAAAGGUGGACGUUGAACAAGAGCUUCUCUUCUUUGAACACGGGAAAUCACAGCUGAUGAAACAAAAGACUCAGCCAUUCUUGGUGUCCCAGCUUAAUCACACUCAAAUCACUCUUGCUCCUAACCCGGUGAUAGAAUAAAUUCCCUAUAGGGUUACCUACCCUAAGGCGCGCAUCUCCUCUUUGAAAGAGUCAAUUGCCGCUCAAAGCAGUGAAACCAAGGAAAGCUGUCUAGCAGUCAACAAGGGAAUAUUGCACCCCCAAUCUCGAUCUACCACCGGUUUCAUUUCGUGGUCUUUCCACUCUAAUCCGCUGUGUUCUUAGCGUGCGUGAUCCGGUGCGUGCGCCACUCGUUCAAUAUUUUCUAUAAGAAAAGCUUCCAAUCUCAUAUUUCGGCAUAUUCAGUUUCCGCUCUUUAAGUUCAGAUCAGUAGGAUAGGGGCUGGUCGUCUUUUCUUAGCUGGUCUUACUGGUCCAGUCGUCGUUCAAUGAGCUCAACUAUGAACGAAAGCUAGAGGUUUGCCUUAAAAGCAUCUCCAGUAAGUUCUUCUGGUUGGAUUGGAUCAUUAAAAGCAAAAUGUGAGGAGCAAUGUUCUUGGCCGCUGUUCAGGUCAAAGUGGAAAUCCGGGUUCGGGGAACCUGAUAUUAAAGUGAAUAGUCACUCUCAUCUUUACUAACCUUAUACUUAGAAGUGGACCAUAUGGAAGUGAUUCCUGAGUUCCUUCGCACAGGGUUUGAAUUGAAGUAGUUAAGUAAGUUUUGUCUACAUCUUCUCUGCAAUUACAAUUACACCAGGAUCAAGGCCCUUCUGAGAUUUAGGCCUCCAUACCUUCCUCAACUUGCUGCCAAUCAUCAUUCGAUACCUCUUUCUUCUUGCGCUGAGGGAAAAGAACUGCAGCAUGUCCAAACAACCCACAGAAGGAGCAUGGUAGAGAUCUUCUUUCAUACUCUACCAGUUGAUCAAUGUUACGCGAUCCUUGGAGCACAAUCGAAAUAGAAGAAGGAAGUUUCAAAUCUCGAAAAACCUCAAUACACAGCCUCGCAAAAGCAAGCUUAUCCAUCCGUCGAGUCGAUUCAUCCACUUUGAUGAGGUGAGGGGAAAGAAUGCCACCGUAAUGGCCGGUUGUGCCAUGGGGCUUCCUAGACUCGGAUGCUAGCCUGAUGAAAUCCAUUGGAAAGCCCUGUGACAACCCUGGAUCCUGUGCUGCAGCUAGGGGUCUUGCUCGAGAUAAUGAAAUUCUGAAGUUGGCUGCUCGCUCCUAAUGGAGCCGAUCUUCACUUCAAGGGGGCGGAUCAGAAGUUCCAAAUUGUUUGGAUGUUGCUGGGCAGCAGUCGUUGAAGCGGCGUAGGCAGGAAAGAGAAGAUGUCGCGGGUUUGAGAAUAAGCUGUUUUUUGAACAAAAAGGUUAUUUUGUGGAAUUGAAUCAGAAUAAGCGAAAGAAAGUAGCAUAGGGCAGAUUCCAGGUAUGCUAAAAGGAUAUCUGAGUUCACAGGCGCAGUUGUGUAUCCCCGUCUUCAUUGAGAUUCGGUUUGUGUUCAGUCAGUCAGGAAAGCGACUCUUUUCUUUUUCACCGGGUGUGGCGAUCCGAUCCCAGUUGAUUGAUCUCGACUUUACCAGCUCAUGAACGGCAUUCGUCAGACUUGAGCAGUAGGUUUCGACUCGGUCAGCUGUCUUGAUGAAGAUUGACUUCAGCCAAAGAGAAUGAAUUGACUUAGGGUUCGCACCCUAUGUGCUCUCAUGCUUUUUUUCUCCGUGCCACGGCGCGAUAUUGAUGAUCUGUUAAAUCAUGCACCCCCCCGUGCUUCUGCAGCAGCAUAUAAUCUCGGUCCCUUACCUUGAUGCCUACAGCUCAAUUUGUUCCGAUGAGCGCCUCGAAAUUUAGGCCUCAGGUUAGACAAAGAGAAAUAUAGUGGGGGAGAUGUCAUAUAGUAAUCAUUAACACAAGAUUGGAAUUUUUCCGCUAAAAUAAGGGAGAAAGGAUGGGAUUGACUGCUUGGCUUUGAAUAGAUUCGAUAGAUUAGGUAUAACGAAAGGAAAGCCGGAUACUAUACGAAAUUAUUAACAUAUCUCCUUGGGGAGUCGAACCCACCGCAUAGGAGCGUCAAUCCACUCUCAAACCGUGAGCUCAUAAGCCGUUGGUUCCACUCUCUCAUAUACGUCAUUUUACGAUCUUUUUGUGACGGCUGGGUCUUGACCUAGCUACCGAACUGACUUAAUGAAAUGGUAGACGUGGCCAAAGGGGGGUCGAUCUUAUAUUACUCAGGGAGCUUCAGAUCAAGUUCUUGCAGCUGAACAUGCUUCGGGACAUCGACCCUACUGCAGAAUCGGAAGGAGAACUUUAGGCAUUGGUCACAUCUGCCUUUCUUUAAGGUGUCGGAAGUAGGGUUUGGAAAGAACUCUCGCCCAGCUUCUUUGAUUAGAUCCGUUUUGUUUUAAAGGCAGAUGCCAUGAAAGAGUCUGGCUAAGAGCCAACGACGGAGACUGUAGUUUAUUUAGCUUUCCAACCCGCGGAUUCUUAUCUAUAUGAAUAUGCCCCUCCUUUCCGGUUCAGACUAAUUAGAAAGGGUCGGUACCGUUGAUCUGUCUUUCUGAAGUCUUUCAUCUCUCUUUGUAAGGUCAAUGAAUGAAAGUGCUUGUUUAGCUUUAGUCUUUAUUCGCGGAGUAGCGCUUCAAAGCUCGUAAGUAACUUAGCUAGCCUUGAGGCUUAAAGAAGGACUGAGCACCUUCUUUUCUUUUUGGUAUCCCCAAUCUAUAGUCUAGUUAAAAGCUGUCAAAGACCCGAAUGGAUCGGGGCAGGCCAACCUAGCGAAAUGUUCUUUUAGCAAUCCCUCCCCCAAUUCUGCAUGCCCUAAUUUGACCCCAGCUACCACUGAUCGAACCCUAGAUGGCAUUGAUCUGAACACCUUGACCUUGGUGGGAUAAGAUCGUUGGAACCUUAGAAAGGUCUCCGUUUACAUGAUCAGUAAUAUA
Molecule: long non-coding RNA, 2975 nt
Filed under: Coffea arabica (coffee)
Lineage: Eukaryota; Viridiplantae; Streptophyta; Magnoliopsida; Gentianales; Rubiaceae
Description: long non-coding RNA (CARA_LNC008396)
Source: RNAcentral